GGAAAGUGUGAGGAAAGGUUUGAAGGAAGCAGAUAGGUCUGAGGAUGUUUUUUUUAUUUUUUUUUGUUUUUAAAUUUUCAU
RNAcentral lists this non-coding RNA (81 nucleotides) under Aplanochytrium sp. PBS07. Lineage: Eukaryota; Bigyra; Thraustochytrida; Thraustochytriidae. The record is from RNAcentral.